GGAUGUGCUCGCCCCGUGGCUUGUCCGAUUUGCACGGUGGCUUGAUUACACGCUCGCAUUCAGGGUCACUUCCGAAGCGCUUUAAUACCUUCCGUCCCUAAACCGCCGACAGCCGGGCGGCUUCCCCCGUGGUUUGGGGAGGAUCUUGCGGGGUCCGGAAGGGCCUUCGUCUCACCCGGGAUCCAC
Ochotona princeps (American pika) is the source of this 186-nucleotide non-coding RNA. NCBI's taxonomy places the organism in Eukaryota, Metazoa, Chordata, Mammalia, Lagomorpha, Ochotonidae. The record is from Rfam.